Molecule: long non-coding RNA, 1281 nt
Organism: Talpa occidentalis (Iberian mole)
Lineage: Eukaryota; Metazoa; Chordata; Mammalia; Eulipotyphla; Talpidae
Exons: 3
Source: RefSeq, a predicted model, not a curated record
GGACACAAGUGCAACCCCCACUAGUACACACACUAGUACACCCCACAUAGACAGUCCCUCACACCGGGAGGCACUGCCUGCUGCACAUGACCACCCCCACAUGGCACGCUCUUGCACACGCAGCAGCAGGUGUGCGGCAUGCUCACAAGGGCACACCCAACACACACAGCUCUUCCUCACACAUGGGGUGAGCUGUUGGCCUGCCUAUGGCCACUCCCACCCUGCCCCUGGCCUGUGCCCUUGGGCUUUGUCAGGCCAAGGGUGACACCCACAGGGUGAGCCAGGUUGGGGGGUUUUCUGAGUCCACAGACUAGAAUCCAGGCAGAGUUGAAACAACUCACCCCAGUGCACCCCUCUGUUCUCAUUUAUGGAAACUGUGGCCCAGAGAGGGCAAGGGAAUGGUCAAGUCACACAACCAAUGUUCUUCCAAACACUUCAAAGCAUGUGAGAACAUGGCAGAAAAAGAAGGAGGUACGCAGCUCUCCUGGCCACAGCCUUCCUCCAGCCUCCUGACUCGGUUCCUCUGGUGUUAGGCAGAACCAGGCCUCAGCUGGUUCCAGUCCUAGGCCUUCCUCCAGGAUGACUGCCAAGAUUGGGCAUGGACUGAGACUUUCAUCCUCUGCCCUGGGUGCAAGGUCAUUUGAAACUGGGCAGGGGACAGCACCCACUGUUGAAACAAGGCCUUCACAGGCUUGGGGUGCUAAUGCUCACUUGGUCUUGGCCACCUGCAGCAAAUGCAGUCCCUCAGCCUGGCCCUCUUGCUCCCUGCCUCAGUCUCCCUCCCCAGGACUCCCAGCCGAAGACCCACAGCAGCUGCCGAGAAUGUGGCUCCAUUAAGGGGGCCCAGGCUCGAAGGACUGAUGCUGCGCUCUUGGCACCAUAAGCCCUGGAGGCGACUGUAUCUGCUGCUGAACCCUCCGGAAGUGGACCCCUUCAGGAUGUGAGCCUUGGUGUCUGCUUCCUUUCUCAGUGCUGUGCGAGAUGGCCCCUGGAAGGUGUUCAUCCUCAGGCUGGCUGUGUGCCACUGUGUGACCAUCACAGCGCUAAUGGACAUCUGGGCGGGUUCCAGGUCCUGGCUGUCAUGAACAGUACCUCUCUGAACAUUCUAGUUCCUGCCUGUUGUGACUACGGGCAAGAGGGAUUACAGGGCCCAGGGUGUGUGAUGGUUCAGCUUUGGAAGAUACAGGAAGUGUUCCUUUUUAAUCAACAUUUUAAUAAGGAUGUCCCAAGGCCUGAAGUGCAACAAAAGGCUGUGAUUCCAGGGGUGAAGUCUUUGGGGUG